This is a long non-coding RNA of Bubalus bubalis (water buffalo), 428 nucleotides long. RefSeq lists it as uncharacterized. The record is from RefSeq and is a predicted model, not a curated record. The transcript has 3 exons. NCBI's taxonomy places the organism in Eukaryota, Metazoa, Chordata, Mammalia, Artiodactyla, Bovidae.
UCACCCCUCUAGAUUGAUACAGAGCCCCUGUUUGAGUUUCCUGAGUUAUAGAGCAAAUUCCUGUUGGCUGUCUGUUCUACAUAUGGAAAUCCAACUCCUGAUUGCCUUCUUGGUGUGUGUAUACUUUUAUGAAGUAAGCUGCCAUGUUGGAGAGGCCCACCUGGCAAGGCACUGUAGGUGGCCUGUGACACAUAAGCAAUGAGGAAAAGAAGCUCUCAUUCCAGAAGAGCCUGAGGAACUGAAUUAUGCCACAACCGCUGAAUGAACUUGGAAACAUAUCUCCAGUUGAAACUUUGGAUGAGACUGCAUCCAAAUCAAGGUGGGCAGACACCUUGAUUUUGGCCGUGAGGCAGAAGAUCCAGGAGUAUGUUAUUUGGCCACCUGAUGUGAAGAACUGACUCAUUUGAAAAGACCCUGAUGUUGGGAAA